GGAUGCGAUCAUACCAGCACUAAAGCACCGGAUCCCAUCGCGAGAGUAGUACUAGGAUGGGUGACCUCCUGGGAAGUCCUCGUGUUGCAUUCC
This 93-nucleotide ribosomal RNA is filed under the name Triticum dicoccoides. The record is from RNAcentral. Lineage: Eukaryota; Viridiplantae; Streptophyta; Magnoliopsida; Poales; Poaceae.